GAUGAAGAAGUAGCGAAAUGCGAUAAGUAAUGUGAAUUGCAGAAUUCAGUGAAUCAUCGAAUCUUUGAACGCAUCUUGCGCUCCUUGGUAUUCCUUGGAGCAUGCCUGUUUGAGUAUCAUGAGCAAAUCUCAAAGUCAAUUCCUUUUGUUAAUUCAAUUGGUUUUGCUUUGGACUUGGAGGUCUUGCAGAUUUCACAGUCUGCUCCUCUUAAAUGCAUUAGCUGGAUCUCAGUAAUUAUGCUUGGUUCCACUCGGCGUGAUAAGUAUCACUCGCUGAGGACACUGUUAAAAAGGUGGCCAGGAAAAUACUGAUUGAACCGCUUCUAACGGUCUAUUAAGUUAGACAAUUACCCUUAAGUUUGAUCUCAAAUCAGGUAGGACUACCCGCUGAACUUAAGCAUAUCAAUAAGCGGAGGA
This 417-nucleotide unclassified non-coding RNA is filed under the name soil metagenome. Its description in RNAcentral is "partial contains 5.8S ribosomal RNA, internal transcribed spacer 2, and large subunit ribosomal RNA". The stretch from base 1 to 119 matches the Rfam family "5.8S ribosomal RNA", at positions 35 to 154 of the family's 154-position model. The record is from RNAcentral.